Lupinus albus (white lupine) is the source of this 1107-nucleotide non-coding RNA. The record is from the annotation of a GenBank genome assembly. NCBI's taxonomy places the organism in Eukaryota, Viridiplantae, Streptophyta, Magnoliopsida, Fabales, Fabaceae.
UAAACCUUUAUUUUCAUAGGAUGACAUAAUUAUUAACGCAAAUAAUAUUAUAAUGAAUGAAUGAAUUAAAUGGAAAAAAAAACCAAAAAUAAAAAAGAAGGCAUUAGGCAAUUACUUCUCAUUUCACGUGGAAAGACAAAUAGAAAGGGGAGAAGAUUAAAUCCCUAACCCUCAUCUCUCCUUCUUCUCCGGCAACGGUUGUAGGGAUGGAAGAAGCGGCGGCGGUCACGGUAGCAAUGGAAGCAAAACGAAGGUGAUUCCCUUCUCCGAUUCUGGAACAACAACAUGUGGAGGUGUCAAAGCUAAGAGGUCAUGGCUUUCUCUCCCUCUCUACCUCAAUCACGGCCAAAGAGGUUGAAACCUCUAACUCCAUUUUCUCAUUCUCUUUGACGAUGGUCGAGGGGCUAUAUGAUGGCAAGGGACAUGGCGGCGAAUUCAGUAAUGAACCCUUUCUCUAAUUUGUUGACAACUUGUUUAAAAAUGUGUUACUGCUUGUAUUGAAUAGUAAGCUGAAUUUAAGGUUCUGAAACCAUGUGUUGGUUGCUUCUGAUCCUUUACCUUUUAUGCUGGUAAUGUUCUUCAGUUAUUGAUAGAUUGUCAUCCCUUUUGGCUGAUCAGUGUCUUCUUUUAUGAUGGUUGCCCUCCUUUUGAGUAUCCCCUGAAUGUUUGUAUAUGUAGUGUUAUAGAUAUACAUGUUCUGAUGCGUAGAUAGAUAGUUGAGGCGGGUUGUCUAUUUUGUGCGCAUGUGAUAGAUUUGUAGCCUCUUGAUUUCUCUUUUUGGAUUGUUGGUACUUGUGUUUGAGUAUGUGUGUUUAUCUCUAUUGUGUUUCUGAUUGUGUGGUGGAGUGAUAUCUAUUCUCACCCCUUUUUGUGUUAUAUAAGAAUAUAUGUGGGUAUGAUAUGUGUAUGUUGGUAUAUGGAUGUGGGUUAAUCUUGGAUUGAAUAUGUGAGAGUAUAUAAACAAGACUAGGUGUUUGGUGGAUGGGAAGAUGAAUAAAAAAAAAGAUGAGAAAGAGUUUUCAUGAAGUUGGUUCUUCUUCAAGCCCAUUGAGUUUAAUGAAAACAAUUUCAGCCCACAAGAAGAUGAAAUGGAAAUAGAUACAUUGU